GUCGCAGUGUGGUCGCAAUGCUUGCAAUGUUGUAAGAUGGACGUGUUCCUGUGGAGUGUUUUAAGUUAUUUUCGGCCUUUUCGCAUGUCACCAGAUGUAAUAGGGGAAAGCAUUUGUUGCCUUUUCCAACAACAAGAGGAUCAAAACAUCUGAACUGCCCAAGACUGCGAAAUCCCAUCUGGCUUGUGAGGAAGGAAAGAACAUCACAUCUGAAUACUGGGACCUCUCUUUCCAGAAGAGAAAGCACUACAUAUAAGUGGGAUUCAGGUAAGAAUGGUUCAAGAAGAUAUG
Molecule: long non-coding RNA, 291 nt
Organism: Cryptotermes secundus
Lineage: Eukaryota; Metazoa; Arthropoda; Insecta; Blattodea; Kalotermitidae
Exons: 3
Source: RefSeq, a predicted model, not a curated record